RNAcentral lists this unclassified non-coding RNA (357 nucleotides) under uncultured Venturiaceae. RNAcentral's name for it is "sequence contains ITS2". The stretch from base 1 to 154 matches the Rfam family "5.8S ribosomal RNA". Lineage: Eukaryota; Fungi; Ascomycota; Dothideomycetes; Venturiales; Venturiaceae. The record is from RNAcentral.
AACUUUUAACAAUGGAUCUCUUGGUUCUCGCAUCGAUGAAGAACGCAGUAAAAUGCGAUAAGUAAUGUGAAUUGCAGAAUUCAGUGAAUCAUCGAAUCUUUGAACGCACAUUGCGCCCCCUGGUAUUCCGGGGGGCACACCUGUUCGAGCGCCAUUUCAACCCUCAAGCCCCGCUUGGUGAUGGGCCCCGCCUGCGGGCGGGCCCGAAACUCGUGGGCGUCGUCGUUCGGCUCCAAGCGUAGCAAAACCCUCGCUUGGGCGCCCGGACGGAGGCCGCCCGGAACGAAUUUUUACAAGGUUGGCCUCGGAUCAGGUGGGGAUACCCGCUGAACUUAAGCAUAUCAAUAAGCGGAGGCU